UUUUCACGGGAUUCACAGAUGAACUUGAGUUGAGCCAAUCUAGCAUAUGAUUGGCGAUGGGGUUUGACGAGUUCUCUAUGACCUCCGUCAAGUCGGGACUCACGAUAAAGGGAUUGUAUCACACGAUAACUGUACAUAGGGCUUCAUUUUUCUGUUCUGCUGGGUUAUCACUACAUAUUGCUAGACGUCACUGGUGGAUCGUGAGAACUUACUAAGAUCAUUUUCGGAUCAACGAUCUUUGUUGAGGUGAGUUGGAAUCGUUUCAACCCAUCGAAAAGAGUUUCAAUGAUACUAUGAUGGAGAUCACGGUAUGUCUCACUAUUAGACAGAAUAGAACCUGAGGGGUCACACACAAA
This 356-nucleotide long non-coding RNA is filed under the name Elaeis guineensis (African oil palm). Its description in RNAcentral is "long non-coding RNA (EGUI_LNC081591)". The record is from RNAcentral. Lineage: Eukaryota; Viridiplantae; Streptophyta; Magnoliopsida; Arecales; Arecaceae.